UCCGGUUUGUCACCGGCAGUCCCCCAUGAGUCCCCGACUUUACUCGCUGGCAACAUGGGGCAGGGGUUGACGUAACGGGACUUAACCCAACAUCUCACGACACGAGCUGACGACAGCCAUGCAGCACCUGUGCAGGGACUCCGAAGAGGGGCCGUGGUUUCUCACGGCUUUCCCCUGCAUGUCAAGCCCAGGUAAGGUUCUUCGCGUUGCGUCGAAUUAAACCACAUGCUCCACCGCUUGUGCGGGCCCCCGUCAAUUCCUUUGAGUUUCAGCCUUGCGGCCGUACUCCCCAGGCGGGGCACUUAAUGCGUUAGCUUUGGCACCGGAGGAGUCGACACCUCCGACACCUAGUGCCCAUCGUUUACGGCGUGGACUAC
Molecule: unclassified non-coding RNA, 377 nt
Filed under: uncultured bacterium
Lineage: Bacteria
Description: contains 16S-23S intergenic spacer region
Source: RNAcentral